AAACAGGAAAAGCAACGUGUUGAUAUUAUUAGAUGCAUCAAUUCGCCAAAAAUAGUACUAAUAUCAAACAACAACAAAAUGAAUCUCCAAGGAUGAAAGUGGAAGGCGAAACGCCACAAGAGAAAUUUGGAACGUUGAAAAGGGGAAGCUAUUUAUAUAGCAGAAUAUGUUCCCAUAGUUUUAACAACUUUAUCAACGUUCAAAAUAAAAACAGAGGCAACUUACAAUAUUAGUUUCACAAUUGCUUUUAAGUGGCGGUCAGUUGAUGAUGUUGGAAUAUAAGUCUGUCUCGUAUGGUGUUAUGAAUAGCUGGAUUUCCUGGAAGUUAGUGUUGGCCGGCAAUGGCUGAAGACGCGCAUG
This 360-nucleotide long non-coding RNA is filed under the name Salvia miltiorrhiza (redroot sage). RNAcentral's name for it is "long non-coding RNA (SMIL_LNC003320)". Lineage: Eukaryota; Viridiplantae; Streptophyta; Magnoliopsida; Lamiales; Lamiaceae. The record is from RNAcentral.